Molecule: ribosomal RNA, 379 nt
Filed under: uncultured bacterium
Lineage: Bacteria
Description: bacterial SSU rRNA
Rfam family: Bacterial small subunit ribosomal RNA
Source: RNAcentral
ACUCCUACGGGAGGCAGCAGUGGGGAAUAUUGCACAAUGGGGGAAACCCUGAUGCAGCCAUGCCGCGUGUGUGAAGAAGGCCUUCGGUUGUAAAGCACUUUCAGUAGGGAGGAAGGUAGUGUAGUUAACACCUGCAUUAUUUGACGUUACCUACAGAAGAAGCACCGGCUAACUCCGUGCCAGCAGCCGCGGUAAUACGGAGGGUGCGAGCGUUAAUCGGAAUUACUGGGCGUAAAGCGCAUGCAGGCGGCCUGUUAAGUCAGAUGUGAAAGCCCGGGGCUUAACCUCGGAAUUGCAUUUGAAACUGGCAGGCUAGAGUCUUGUAGAGGGGGGUAGAAUUUCAGGUGUAGCGGUGAAAUGCGUAGAGAUCUGAAGGAAU